RNAcentral lists this long non-coding RNA (126 nucleotides) under Neogale vison (American mink). RNAcentral describes it as "Neovison vison (American mink) Pvt1 onco conserved region 5 (ENSNVIG00000008822.1)". It matches the Rfam family "Pvt1 oncogene conserved region 5". Lineage: Eukaryota; Metazoa; Chordata; Mammalia; Carnivora; Mustelidae. The record is from RNAcentral.
AAUCCCAUCAUACCUUGGAUUUUGGUGCUAUCAGUCUGAAAAGCAGACGUACCUGUCUGGUACUCUAGAGGGAAUGUCCUUUCCUGAAUGAAAAAGCUGGGCCAUUUGGGGAUUUGGAGAAUAAAG